AUGGAGGCGCUCGCUACCGCACCCGCGCCGUCACGUCCAGGCCCCCCACCCCCGACCCGCUGCUCCCAUCUCCGCCGCCCCAAAGCCCUAGCCACCUCCAAGCUCCCUCGCCGCGUCAUCGCCGCCCUUCACAUGGACGGCCCCCGCGCCGCGCCCCUUCGCUGCACUCCCGCCGAGACGGACGCGGUGGCGACGACCUCGGACCAGACCGAGACGGCGGCGGCGGUCGAAGCCACCGAGCUGGGCAACAACGGGGCCCCGGCCCCGGCGGCGGACGCCCCCGCCGCCAGCAUCGAGGGGCUGGACGGGAUAAAGAUCCGGAGGCGCCCGGUCACGGGCCCGUCCGUGCACCACGUGGGCCCCUUCCAGUUCCGCCUCGAGAACGAGGGCAACACGCCGCGCAACAUCCUCGAGAAGAUUGUCUGGAACAAGGACGUUGAGAUUUGGCAGAUGAAGGAGAAAAUGCCCCUGUACAGGCUGAAAGGUCCGCUGGACAAUGCGCCUCCGGCCAGGGACUUUGUUGCUGCGCUGAAAGCGUCCUACGAUCGGACUGCUCUGCCCGCUCUGAUUGCGGAGGUGAAGAAGGGGUCGCCAAGCCGGGGGGUUCUUAGGGAGAAUUUUGAACCGGUCGAGAUCGCUCAAGCGUACGAGAAAAAUGGAGCAGCAUGCUUAAGUGUUCUUACAGAUUCAAAAUUCUUUCAGGGAAGUUUCGACUACUUGGAGGCUAUACGCAAUGCUGGAGUGAAGUGUCCUCUUCUGUGCAAAGAGUUCAUCAUUGACGCUUGGCAGCUUUACUAUGCACGGUCUAAGGGAGCAGAUGCUGUUCUUCUGAUUGCCGCCAUCUUACCUGAUCGUGAUAUCAGUUAUAUGCUGAAAAUAUGCAAAAUACUCGGGAUGGCAGCUCUAGUUGAGGUGCAUGAUGAAAGGGAAAUCGACCGUGUUAUAGGGAUAGCUGGCAUUCAGCUUAUUGGCAUCAAUAACCGUAAUCUUGAAACUUUUGAAGUUGACAUUUCAAACACGAAAAAGCUUCUGGAGGGUGAACGGGGACAACUUAUAGCCCAGAAGGACAUAAUUGUCGUAGGCGAAUCUGGACUGUUCACGCCUGACCAUGUUUCAUUCGUUCAGGAUGCCGGGGUCAAAGCGAUUCUUGUCGGGGAGUCCCUCAUCAAGCAGGAGGACCCUGGGAAAGCAAUCGCUGGGCUUUUCGGCAAAGACAUCUCACCCGUGAGUAGUGCGGUGUAA
Molecule: ribosomal RNA, 1242 nt
Filed under: Triticum aestivum (bread wheat)
Lineage: Eukaryota; Viridiplantae; Streptophyta; Magnoliopsida; Poales; Poaceae
Description: partial small subunit ribosomal RNA
Source: RNAcentral